RNAcentral lists this small nucleolar RNA (121 nucleotides) under Cebus imitator (Panamanian white-faced capuchin). Its description in RNAcentral is "Small nucleolar RNA SNORA25 (ENSCCAG00000006878.1)". The record is from RNAcentral. Lineage: Eukaryota; Metazoa; Chordata; Mammalia; Primates; Cebidae.
AGGUCAUUUCAAAGAAGGCUCAUGUGACUGUGAGACCGCGAACUCUUAAUGCUGUGGUCGAAGACUGCAAUACGAUAGGACAGUACUCGGUGCUGCUAUGUUUCUCUGAGGAGACAUUAAU